Molecule: long non-coding RNA, 863 nt
Organism: Neltuma alba
Lineage: Eukaryota; Viridiplantae; Streptophyta; Magnoliopsida; Fabales; Fabaceae
Exons: 3
Source: RefSeq, a predicted model, not a curated record
UCAAGGAAGUACAGUCAAAUUCCCUUCGUAUUUACAGCCCGUCCCGACAAUGCGGAAGUUUCAAUAAAGUGUGGAUGGCGUGUCAUCCGCAAAGUUGAUGUUGAAAACAGCAGUAGCUCAAAGAGUCAAGGUCUCCUUCCAAUACUGGAACAACAAAUGGACCGAGUUGUUGAUCAUAACUCGGUGCCGAUGACAGGCCUUGGGAGCCCAUGGCAUUUCCAAACCGCAUUCACGAAAGAUGGUCCAAUAACGCUCCCAAACCCACGUUUAUAUCCAAACCUCGGUGAUUGUCUGUGCUCUGAUUGUCAGGAGGGGAUGAUAAGCAUUCUUUUUGAGCGCUCUAGAGUCUAGUCUAGAACCAAAAAGACCAAUCCGGCAAAACGACGAUGAAGGAUCGACAGACAUGGAACGCUGCGUUUUUGCUGAGGGUUCCCAUAUCUAAAUCGAGAUCGCACUUCCAGUCAUCAUCCUCUCCAUAUCCACCACCUCCGUCCUCUUGAUUCCACCAUCUCUGCUCCUCCUUGAAUCGCAAUUCCGUCUUCCUUUGCUGGGCACUAUGGCCGAGAGUCCUGCGAACCUCGGUGAGGUGCUGUCUUCGUCCACGAGCAGUAGGGGCUUCCAUUCCUUGAUGAUGAUGAAGCCAAGCUGAGUUCCACAAGGCAAUAGGGGAUUUUAAUUGUUCCCUGUUACAGGUUUCAAUCUCUAUGCAUAUUGAUUGUAGUUUCUAGGUAUCUGUGGAAUUUGUAUUUAAUGUGUAUAGCUGAGGAUUAUCAAUGGCAUGUGUAGUCUGGAGAUUGGUACUUAUAUUAGAUGUUGCAUUCAGUGGAUUGUUGAUUGAUUUGUGGCACUUUCUUUGCUAUUUU